RNAcentral lists this ribosomal RNA (719 nucleotides) under Sepiola atlantica. RNAcentral describes it as "bacterial SSU rRNA". It matches the Rfam family "Eukaryotic small subunit ribosomal RNA", at positions 51 to 633 of the family's 1831-position model. Lineage: Eukaryota; Metazoa; Mollusca; Cephalopoda; Sepiida; Sepiolidae. The record is from RNAcentral.
AUGCAAGUGUAAGUUCACGCCACGCAUUAGAACGGGCGAAACCGCGAAUGGCUCAGGAACCGGACCUAAUCCUCGGGACCGUAUUCCUCCUCGGAGGCGAUGGAUAACUGUGGCAAUUCUAGAGCUAAUACAUGUGACACAGGCCGCGAUCGGUCGGCGCGUUGUCGUCGCCUCGCCUUGCGCGCUGGCACCCGCGUCGGCCGUUCCGGGUCGCGGCGCUACAUAUUAGACUGAGACCGAUGCGCGUCAUUCCGUCCUCCCGUCGUCGGCGUCGGCGUCAGCUGUCGUCGGCGGCGGGGCUCAUAGGGCGGCGCGCUCCGCUUUGGUGACUCUGGAUAACUCACUGGUCGAUCGCACGGGCUUUACGCCCGGCGACGGGUCUCUCGAGGGUCCGCCCUAUCAACUGUCGACGGUCGGUUAAGUGCCUACCGUGGUUACUACGGGUAACGGGGAAUCGGGGUUCGAUUCCGGAGAGGGAGCAUGCGAAACGGCUACCACAUCCAAGGAAGGCAGCAGGCGCGCAAAUUACCCACUCCCGGCACGGGGAGGUAGUGACGAAAAAUAACGACGCGGGACUCUGUCGAGGCCCCGCGAUCGGAAUGAGUACACUUCAAAUCCGUUAACGAGGACCAACCGGAGGGCAAGUCUGGUGCCAGCAGCCGCGGUAAUUCCAGCUCCGGUAGCGUAUAUUAAAGUUGUUGCGGUUAAAAAGCUCGUAG